RNAcentral lists this ribosomal RNA (495 nucleotides) under uncultured bacterium. Its description in RNAcentral is "partial 16S ribosomal RNA". It matches the Rfam family "Bacterial small subunit ribosomal RNA", at positions 30 to 507 of the family's 1533-position model. The record is from RNAcentral.
UGAACGCUGGCGGCGUGCCUAAUACAUGCAAGUCGAGCGAACAGACGAGGAGCUUGCUCCUCUGACGUUAGCGGCGGACGGGUGAGUAACACGUGGAUAACCUACCUAUAAGACUGGGAUAACUUCGGGAAACCGGAGCUAAUACCGGAUAAUAUAUUGAACCGCAUGGUUCAAUAGUGAAUGACGGUUUUGCUGUCACUUAUAGAUGGAUCCGCGCCGCAUUAGCUAGUUGGUAAGGUAACGGCUUACCAAGGCAACGAUGCGUAGCCGACCUGAGAGGGUGAUCGGCCACACUGGAACUGAGACACGGUCCAGACUCCUACGGGAGGCAGCAGUAGGGAAUCUUCCGCAAUGGGCGAAAGCCUGACGGAGCAACGCCGCGUGAGUGAUGAAGGUCUUCGGAUCGUAAAACUCUGUUAUUAGGGAAGAACAAAUGUGUAAGUAACUAUGCACGUCUUGACGGUACCUAAUCAGAAAGCCACGGCUAACUACGUG